This 253-nucleotide ribosomal RNA is filed under the name uncultured bacterium. RNAcentral's name for it is "partial 16S ribosomal RNA". It matches the Rfam family "Bacterial small subunit ribosomal RNA", at positions 524 to 776 of the family's 1533-position model. The record is from RNAcentral.
AACGUAGGUGGCAAGCGUUAUCCGGAAUUACUGGGCGUAAAGCGUGCGCAGGCGGUUCGUUGUGUCGGCGGUGAAAGCCCCGGGCUUAACCUGGGAAUGGCCGUUGAAACUGGCGAACUGGAGUGUGGCAGAGGGGGGUGGAAUUCCGCGUGUAGCAGUGAAAUGCGUAGAGAUGCGGAGGAACACCGAUGGCGAAGGCAGCCCCCUGGGCUAACACUGACGCUCAGGCACGAAAGCGUGGGGAGCAAACAGG